AACAUACCCAACAAGGGAAAUGACCACAUAUCUCCAGCUUGCUGUGUUCUUCUUGGAUCAUAGUUCGUUUCUUAGUUGCCUAGCAUAUUCGACUAUUAGACGUUAUCCUUUCCCAAAUGCCAGUUUGUUCUGGUCAUUUGUGAAUUAGAUAUUAUCAAUAGAGAAACCAGACACCAGUCCUGUUUGUGAAACAGUAACAUAAACAUUCAACUGUUUUAUUACGGCUUAACAUGGGUUGCUGCAAUCAUUUGAAAUUGUAUCAAAAUCAGACAACAAAGAAUCGAU
Molecule: long non-coding RNA, 285 nt
Filed under: Linum usitatissimum (flax)
Lineage: Eukaryota; Viridiplantae; Streptophyta; Magnoliopsida; Malpighiales; Linaceae
Description: long non-coding RNA (LUSI_LNC002341)
Source: RNAcentral